UUCUUAAGACCUGAAAGGGAUCAAUUUGAUAGAUUGAUGCAGAAAACUGAUACAGGAC
RNAcentral lists this transfer RNA (58 nucleotides) under Cyriopagopus schmidti (Chinese earth tiger). Its description in RNAcentral is "Haplopelma schmidti (Chinese earth tiger) tRNA-Ile". The record is from RNAcentral. Lineage: Eukaryota; Metazoa; Arthropoda; Arachnida; Araneae; Theraphosidae.